RNAcentral lists this long non-coding RNA (274 nucleotides) under Trifolium pratense (red clover). RNAcentral describes it as "long non-coding RNA (TPRA_LNC005660)". Lineage: Eukaryota; Viridiplantae; Streptophyta; Magnoliopsida; Fabales; Fabaceae. The record is from RNAcentral.
UAAUAUUUAUGAGCUGAAUUUGGAAAUGUACACGAAAUAGUUUUUGUUUUUUCUUGUUUUUUUUUUCUUAUUCUCUAGUUUGGAGCAUAUUUAUCAUUUAUUCAUUUGCUGAUAGUAUUGUCAUGACAUUAAUUAAUUAAUUAAUAAUGAGAGGCACUACUGUUUAUUUAUAUAAUAUAUAUUAUACACUUCCUACAUAUAAUGUUUUGUAUAUGUUUCUGGGCAUGCCUUUGUAUUUGUUAAGAAGUCACAUCGGAUGCGAGAUGACCUGAAC